RNAcentral lists this non-coding RNA (205 nucleotides) under Pseudomonas sp. Lineage: Bacteria; Pseudomonadati; Pseudomonadota; Gammaproteobacteria; Pseudomonadales; Pseudomonadaceae. The record is from RNAcentral.
CCUACACAUCUUGUUUCGGGUGCCCUUCACAGGGUGAAACGGGAAACCGGUGAGUCAUGGCGUCAUGACGAGUCCGGUGCUGCCCCCGCAACGGUAAGCGAGUGAAGCGUCAGAUCCACUGUGCCUGUACGGCAUGGGAAGGCGACGCUUUAUAGACCCAGUGUCCCUCGCAAGCCCGGAGACCGGCCCGAAUAACAUCGAAUAA